CCUACGGGAGGCAGCAGUGGGGAAUUUUGGACAAUGGACGCAAGUCUGAUCCAGCCAUGCCGCGUGCGGGAAGAAGGCCUUCGGGUUGUAAACCGCUUUUGUCAGGGAAGAAACGGCUUUUUCUAAUACAGAGAGCUAAUGACGGUACCUGAAGAAUAAGCACCGGCUAACUACGUGCCAGCAGCCGCGGUAAUACGUAGGGUGCAAGCGUUAAUCGGAAUUACUGGGCGUAAAGCGUGCGCAGGCGGUUAUGCAAGACAGAUGUGAAAUCCCCGGGCUCAACCUGGGAACUGCAUUUGUGACUGCAUAGCUAGAGUACGGUAGAGGGGGAUGGAAUUCCGCGUGUAGCAGUGAAAUGCGUAGAUAUGCGGAGGAACACCGA
RNAcentral lists this ribosomal RNA (382 nucleotides) under uncultured bacterium. Its description in RNAcentral is "bacterial SSU rRNA". It matches the Rfam family "Bacterial small subunit ribosomal RNA", at positions 338 to 712 of the family's 1533-position model. The record is from RNAcentral.